GACGAACGCUGGCGGCGUGCCUAAUACAUGCAAGUCGCGCGAAGUUUUUCUGGUGCUUGCACUAGAACAACUUAGCGGCGAACGGGUGAGUAACACGUAAAGAAUCUGCCUCAUAGACUGGGACAACUAUUGGAAACGAUCGCUAAUACCGGAUAACAGUAUUUCUCGCAUGAGAGAUAUUUAAAAGUUGUUUAUGCUAACACUAUGAGAUGUCUUUGCGGUGCAUUAGCUAGUUGGUGGGGUAAAGGCCCACCAAGGCGACGAUGCAUAGCCGACCUGAGAGGGUGAUCGGCCACACUGGGACUGAGACACGGCCCAGACUCCUACGGGAGGCAGCAGUAGGGAAUCUUCCGCAAUGGGCGAAAGCCUGACGGAGCAACGCCGCGUGAGUGAAGAAGGAUUUCGGUUCGUAAAGCUCUGUUGUUAGGGAAGAAUGGAUAUGUAGUAACUAUACAUGUAAGAGACGGUACCUAACCAGAAAGCCACGGCUAACUACGUG
RNAcentral lists this ribosomal RNA (499 nucleotides) under uncultured bacterium. Its description in RNAcentral is "partial 16S ribosomal RNA". It matches the Rfam family "Bacterial small subunit ribosomal RNA", at positions 28 to 507 of the family's 1533-position model. The record is from RNAcentral.